AGAAAUAUGUCUGAUAAAAGAGUUACUUUGAUAGAGUAAA
RNAcentral lists this transfer RNA (40 nucleotides) under Canis lupus (wolf). RNAcentral's name for it is "partial tRNA-Ile". Lineage: Eukaryota; Metazoa; Chordata; Mammalia; Carnivora; Canidae. The record is from RNAcentral.